AUCGCUUCUCGGCCUUUUGGCUAAGAUCAAGUGUAGAAUUCUUUUUUUUUUUUUUUUUUUUUUGAGACAGAGCCUCAAGCGAGUCUCUUGCCUCCACCUCCCAAGUAGCUGGGACCACAG
RNAcentral lists this small nuclear RNA (120 nucleotides) under Otolemur garnettii (small-eared galago). Its description in RNAcentral is "U2 spliceosomal RNA". It matches the Rfam family "U2 spliceosomal RNA". Rfam says of the family: U2 is a small nuclear RNA (snRNA) component of the spliceosome (involved in pre-mRNA splicing). Complementary binding between U2 snRNA (in an area lying towards the 5' end but 3' to hairpin I) and the branchpoint sequence (BPS) of the intron results the bulging out of an unpaired adenosine, on the BPS, which initiates a nucleophilic attack at the intronic 5' splice site, thus starting the first of two transesterification reactions that mediate splicing. The record is from Rfam by way of RNAcentral. Lineage: Eukaryota; Metazoa; Chordata; Mammalia; Primates; Galagidae.